AUCCAGCUGACGAGUUCCAAAUAGAACGAAAUGCGCCUCCUAGAU
This 45-nucleotide non-coding RNA is filed under the name Schistosoma mattheei. Lineage: Eukaryota; Metazoa; Platyhelminthes; Trematoda; Strigeidida; Schistosomatidae. The record is from RNAcentral.